AGGACGAACGCUGGCGGCGUGCCUAAUACAUGCAAGUCGAACGGUCUUUCUAUGGAAGCUUGCUUCCACUGAGAAGAUAGUGGCGAACGGGUGAGUAACACGUGGGUAACCUGCCCAUAAGAGGGGGAUAACAUCCGGAAACGGGUGCUAAUACCGCAUAGUUUUCUUGAUCGCAUGAUUGAGAAAGGAAAGACGGCCUUUGUGCUGUCGCUUAUGGAUGGACCCGCGGCGUAUUAGUUAGUUGGUGAGGUAACGGCUCACCAAGACGAUGGUACGUAGCCGACCUGAGAGGGUGAUCGGCCACAUUGGGACUGAGACACGGCCCAAACUCCUACGGGAGGCAGCAGUAGGGAAUCUUCCGCAAUGGACGAAAGUCUGACGGAGCAACGCCGCGUGAGUGAAGAAAGGUUUUCGGAUCGUAAAACUCUGUUGUCAGAGAAGAACAAGUUGGAGAGUAACUGCUCCAGCCUUGACGGUAUCUGACCAGAAAGCCACGGCUAACUACGUGCCAGCAGCCGC
Molecule: ribosomal RNA, 519 nt
Filed under: uncultured bacterium
Lineage: Bacteria
Description: bacterial SSU rRNA
Rfam family: Bacterial small subunit ribosomal RNA
Source: RNAcentral